RNAcentral lists this ribosomal RNA (468 nucleotides) under uncultured bacterium. RNAcentral describes it as "partial 16S ribosomal RNA". It matches the Rfam family "Bacterial small subunit ribosomal RNA", at positions 35 to 507 of the family's 1533-position model. The record is from RNAcentral.
GGGGGGGGCGGGGGGGGGGCUGGGCGGGUGGAGGGCGAGCGGGAGGGCCCUGCUGUUGGGGGGGGGUCGGGUGGCGGCCGGGUGAGUCACGCGUGGGUAGCCUGCCCUUUGCUUUGGGGUGACUUCAGUCGCCUCGUGCUACUCCCCGCUUGUAUCUCCUGCUGCAUGGUGUUGGUUUGCCGGUUUCGGCGGUUGGUUAUGGACUCCCUGCUUCUCAGCUUGUUGGUGGGGUCGUGGCUUACCAAGGCUUUGACUGGUAGCCGUCCUGGGGGGGUGACCGGCCACAAUGGGAAUGAGAUACGGCCCAGACUCCUACGGGAGGCAGAAGUGGGGAAUAUUGUACAAUGGGAGGAAGCCUGAUGCAGCAACGCCGCGUGCGGGAGGACGGCCUUCGUGUUGUAAACCGAUUUGGCCUGUGACGAAGCGUGAGUGACGGUAAUGGGUAAAGAAGCACCGGCUAACUACGUG